Long non-coding RNA from Carassius auratus (goldfish), 1716 nucleotides. RefSeq lists it as uncharacterized. Lineage: Eukaryota; Metazoa; Chordata; Actinopteri; Cypriniformes; Cyprinidae. The transcript has 4 exons. The record is from RefSeq and is a predicted model, not a curated record.
CACUUCAGAAGAUGAAUACAGAUGCUGACAUUGUUUCAGCUUGGAUUAAUUGAUAGUUUUUAAAAACAAAACUUUUUUUUGUUCACAGCACAGUUAAGCAGCUACCCUUCAGUGUUGUGCAUUUACAGAUUGAGCCAAAAAACGUCCAGAAGAAAAUGGGGGCAGGAAGUUCCAGACAGAGAGAAAUUGAGCUGCAAAGAAGAGCAAAGGAACUGGAUGAAAGAGCGAGGGAACUGGAUAGAAGAGCGACGGAAGGGAAGACAAAAGCUCCUAAGUGUUGUGGUUGCUGCUUCAUUCAAAUAUCAUCACAGAAGACAGAUCAAUCAACUAACAUGAUCAAUUCACAAGUCAGUAAUGAUAAAAAUUCACAUAUUGAAGGUAGGUUAGGUUUUAGUUUCAGUCCAAGAGUUGUGUAACUCAUCAGACCCUCACACUCACCAGACUACAUUUCCCAUCAUCUAUUUUGUAUUACCUUACUUAAAAUAUUAUGCAUGACUAUGAAAGUAAUUAAUAUACUGAUCAAUAUGCUGAAUUGUCCCUAAAUACUGAUUGGAUGUAUAAAGGCCCUCCCAUUGGGCAGCACUGCUUUUUCCAUUGAACUGCAUCUGUUAACUGAAGCAUUCCUAUGAACUUUGGAUGAUUUCCAGAAGUUGACAGAUUCAAUGAAUGUCUCCUGGGAUCACCGCCAACCAAUACUAGGCAGAAAGUUGAUAUGGCCAAGUUUCAUCAUUAAGAAAUACCAGAUGGGCAAGUAAUAAAUUGUGGAAAACCAGACAAGGAUAGCCAAUAAAAAUAAUCCGGAACUACCAAUUAUGAUAAGAAAGAAGGGUAUGAAUAAGUGCGUAGUGCCUAAGAGGGGCCUAAAAUCCAUGUUUUCCCUAUUUAAAGACAGUUACAUGAGUAGUUAUACGAGUAACUAUAAUGACACAAAAUAAAACGUGGCGAUUUUAUAAGCGGAUAAAAAAAGAUUACUAUAAUGUAUGGCGGAAGAGCACUUUGCAGCACUUCGACCUCGGCGUAGUAAUAUCAACUCGUCACGUUGGUUGUAUUGAAGGAAGUUAGAGGGAGACGGAAAGUUUUCAGGAGAAAAUAAAAGGCCAAAUGACAUAGAAGGACAUGUAGUACUACUGAUUCAAAGAACAAAAUAAUAGAGCCACAGGGUGACGCAAGAGAAGUUGAGAAGGGUAGUUUAAUUGAAAAACGUUGUAUACAAAGGAAGCUGGUCAAAGGCUUACGAUCAAUGAUGAAACAAGCAGGAAAUUCAUAAGCCAUUUACAGAGUCCUCUCAUUUCCCAAUAAAAUAAUAUAAAUAUCUUCAAAUUGUGUGUGCUGCCAUUAUGACAGGCAUCCAGUGGAUGGUGAUGUUUUUUAAAUAAUGGAUUCAAAGACAGUUUAAUUACUAAAAGAAACAAAAGAACAGAUGAUAAUUAGAAUGUGGUUUCAACACGAUACUCGUAUAAGGUUUAGUGACAUUUAUUAUUCUAGUUAGAAUGGAAAUUAUAGCAGGAGCGUAGUAACCAAGAAAACAACAUCUGUUAAGACAAGAGACUGUGUAUAUUAUAUAGAUAUGAAUCUAGAUAUAUAUAGAGAGAUGAAAUAUAUAGAGAGACACGCCAGAUGACUAUGACUAUUAUACAGUGACCUGUAAUUUGAUCCUUUGCAGAGUUUCUGAUAUUUCUGGAAAUCACCAAAAUGUGGAUGAUAAAGCUACACUGU